This 123-nucleotide non-coding RNA is filed under the name Ditylum brightwellii. Lineage: Eukaryota; Bacillariophyta; Thalassiosirophyceae; Lithodesmiales; Lithodesmiaceae. The record is from RNAcentral.
GAAUGGCGUGAAAAUGUACAAGGAAAGAGGCAAAGAUAUUAAGAGACAAAAAUAAAGAAAAAUAAUUGGAAAUUUGACUUUCCGGGGCCGGGCACCAUUGUUCGUGCUUUAGUCCAACCUUUU